AUGCAAAUACGCCGCUUUAUCCGCCCCGAGCGCACCCAGAGCACGGGCGAACGUUCCAGACAUCCACAGCCCCUUCCUAUUUAUCGAAUCCAUACCAAGAUAUUGUCUCAAGAUGGGGAAACAACAACCCAAACAAAAAAUAAACAAAAAGAACCUCGGACUCCUUUCUUGUCGCUGUCCGGGGAGUUCCCGGGGCAAAUCUGGUCUGAUACGCACUUAGGCCGAGCUACAGUUCGAGCCACCGCGCUACGCAAAGCCACCGCCAGCAGCACGCUCUGCGCUUCCUCCCUGGCAGGUCCACAGUCCUCUCCCGGCUCGCGGGAGGUGGGGAGUGCGGUCGCCAGUCCGUUGCGCCAAGAAUUCCACCCACGCACCUAUUCCCUCUCCCAGCGCUUCAGACACCUCUCUCAUCGAAAAACUGGGCGAAAGGAAGCCGUCAACGAGCAGAGAACUCCGGCUGAAUUAACGGCGACUCCCAGAAGCUCCUGACGCUGUGACAGCUGUCGCUCGGGCAGCCCGAGGGACGAAUUGUCCUCCUUCUUGGUGCCAGAGGACGCAGGAAAUUAGCCAGGUUGCGAGUUGCAAAGCUGCUGCCGCGGCGCCGGGAACGGGGCGCGCCCCAUCUCCAGCGGGAGCCGCCAGGCCUGGCCUGGUCGGGGCUUCCCUUCGCUCGCCAUCUCCGGACAAAGCGCAGCCCAGCCAGGCUCGAAGGCAGAGCUCCGAAGCAGGCAGGACGGAGCGGAGCAAAAGAAUGCGGCUCUAUUCUCGCAAGGGAAAUU
This 779-nucleotide long non-coding RNA is filed under the name Piliocolobus tephrosceles (Ugandan red Colobus). RNAcentral's name for it is "lncRNA (ENSPTEG00000021529.1)". Lineage: Eukaryota; Metazoa; Chordata; Mammalia; Primates; Cercopithecidae. The record is from RNAcentral.